CAUGCUUACAUUUGGUCCAUCCCGGUUUACUGUAACCAGCCGGUUCGUUGACGCACAUAAAACCGUUGACCGUUUCCGGUUUUCAAAACCUUGAUCAAAACUUGCAUAUGUGCAAUUAUUUCUCCAAUCUUCGAUCAAUUUGCCUCAAAUAAUUUCAACUCAACCAAAAACACUCGAUCAAAGCUCUUUAAUUUCCCACCAGCCUUAAGCAAUCAUGUUGGAGCUCAACUUAAUUAUCCGAUUUGUAGCGAUUCUGUUUCUGUUCUUGAGCUCUAGUUGUUUCACUUCCUUAGUUCAAUCUGUCUGUGUCUGUAACAGAAGCAGUGAUUUGGUUGGUUUGUACUAUGCUGACCAACGAAACAAUCUUGCUUCAAAUUUCCUACACAUAAACACCAACACCAGUACCAGCGAUGUUCUCAACUAUAACCCAAACUGGAUCCCUAGUCAAAUAAUGUAUAAGAAAAUGCACAAGAGGGGCGCUAAUCUGACAUCUGCAGUGUGGAUUCAGAGCUAUACCUCUUCUUAUAUCAAUCGUGUGGUUUGUUCGUGUGUGAAUAGUUCGAUUUCAACGGAUUAUUGUUUGCUCUUGUACAGUGUUUGGCAGAAGAAUACUUUGGAUUCGGUUUCAUUGGCGCCGGUUCCUAGUCCAGACGUAGAUCUGUUCAUAGUUCCGGCUUUAAAGGCUUUAAGAUGGCAGUAUACAGAUUAUACAGUUGCUUUUGUUGAAAACUCAACCUUAAAAGGUUUUGCUUCUUUGAGAAAAUCAUUCGAUUAUGAUGAUCAGCGUAUUCCUAUAGAUGUAAAUAGAAAUCAUCCACCCUUAAGAAAAUGCUCAGGUGACCGGCAGUUACCUUUAGAUUAGUACAAUAUGAUAUAUUCUUAAAUCGAAACGUGUUUCACAGAACCCAGAUUAUCACGUGGGGCCAUAGUUGGAAUAACUUUAGGAGUAGUAGCUGUCUUGAUGAGCCAUGCAAGAUGCUUAUAUAAUAGAGUUUAUAGAAAGACAAAAGCUGAAAAAAGGUCGGCAUUGCUAAGGCCUAUUCAAGGUUCAGAGUCUAGGGGUGCACUUGCUGCAGGGCUUGUAGGUAUAACAAUUGACAAAGCGGUGGAGUUUUCAUAUGAAGAGCUUUCAAAAGCUACAAAUGACUUCAGUCUUGGUAACAAGAUUGGUCAAGGUGGUUUUGGUGUUGUUUAUUAUGCAGAGCUCAGAGGGGAGGUUUGGAACUAGGACUUUUAUUUUACUCUGUUGCUUCAUGCAUGUGAUAGGAUCUAGAGG
RNA transcript from Helianthus annuus (common sunflower), 1276 nucleotides. RefSeq lists it as uncharacterized. Lineage: Eukaryota; Viridiplantae; Streptophyta; Magnoliopsida; Asterales; Asteraceae. The transcript is spliced from 5 exons. The record is from RefSeq and is a predicted model, not a curated record.